GCCUGAUGCAGCCAUGCCGCGUGUAUGAAGAAGGCCUUCGGGUUGUAAAGUACUUUCAGCGGGGAGGAAGGUGUUGAGGUUAAUAACCUCGGCAAUUGACGUUACCCGCAGAAGAAGCACCGGCUAACUCCGUGCCAGCAGCCGCGGUAAUAA
This 153-nucleotide ribosomal RNA is filed under the name uncultured Enterobacteriaceae bacterium. RNAcentral's name for it is "partial 16S ribosomal RNA". It matches the Rfam family "Bacterial small subunit ribosomal RNA", at positions 381 to 526 of the family's 1533-position model. The record is from RNAcentral. Lineage: Bacteria; Pseudomonadati; Pseudomonadota; Gammaproteobacteria; Enterobacterales; Enterobacteriaceae.